This 586-nucleotide ribosomal RNA is filed under the name uncultured bacterium. RNAcentral's name for it is "partial 16S ribosomal RNA". It matches the Rfam family "Bacterial small subunit ribosomal RNA", at positions 355 to 1375 of the family's 1533-position model. The record is from RNAcentral.
UGGGGAAUUUUGGACAAUGGGGGAAACCCUGAUCCAGCCAUCCCGCGUGUGCGAUGAAGGCCUUCGGGUUGUAAAGCACUUUUGGCAGGAAAGAAACGUCGCGGGUUAAUACCCCGCGAAACUGACGGUACCUGCAGAAUAAGCACCGGCUAACUACGUGCCAGCAGCCGCGGUAAUACGUAGGGUGCAAGCGUUAAUCGGAAUUACUGGGCGUAAAGCGUGCGCAGGCGGUUCGGAAAGAAAGAUGUGAAAUCCCAGAGCUUAACUUUGGAACUGCAUUUUUUAACUACCGGGCUAGAGUGUGUCAGAGGGAGGUGGAAUUCCGCGUGUAGCAGUGAAAUGCGUAGAUAUGCGGAGGAACACCGAUGGCGAAGGCAGCCUCCUGGGAUAACACUGACGCUCAUGCACGAAAGCGUGGGGAGCAAACAGGAUUAGAUACCCUGGUAGUCCACGCCCUAAACGAUGUCAACUAGCUGUUGGGGCCUUCGGGCCUUGGUAGCGCAGCUAACGCGUGAAGUUGACCGCCUGGGGAGUACGGUCGCAAGAUUAAAACUCAAAUGAAUUGACGGGGUCAUAGCUGUUUCCU